Molecule: long non-coding RNA, 775 nt
Organism: Polypterus senegalus (gray bichir)
Lineage: Eukaryota; Metazoa; Chordata; Cladistia; Polypteriformes; Polypteridae
Exons: 4
Source: RefSeq, a predicted model, not a curated record
UACGAGAUUGUCUGACUGCACAUAAAUCAGAAUUAAAGACGGACAUUUUUGCCUGGUUCUUUUUCCAGAGUGGCGAUGCCUUGCAUGUUGUUUGGGCAUGUUUGCACUUAACCCAGACGUGCUGGCAGGCCACGUGGGCAGAAGAGCAGAAGUACUUCUGGGUUUGCCAGUAUAAAAAGAACCACCUCAAAUCCAGUUGGGGAGCCAGAGUUGGGCGGGAAAUGAUGAAGAAUAAAGAUGACACCAAUGAUCUUAACUUAACCUCAGUAGGGAAACACAAACACAUCACAACAAAACCCACAAGUGUCAACAACAAGUCGCCCAAAUCUCCCAGCUUUUAUGGACAGUAAAGACGGAGUUUAAAGUUUAAGCUCUACAGUGUGUUCCAUUUAGAGAAAUGAGAACUGGGGAUCACCACUCUGGUCUGCUUCUCCAGGGACACAGCUCCCGAUGACCACACAGCAUUGAAAAGGCGUGCCAGACAGGCAGCCCAACAAUGUCCAGAGCAUCUCUGGCUGUAUCUCAUCCAUCCUUGGGGACAUGACACAGUGAAGUUGCUUAAAUACCUCAGUGACCUCCCUCGGGAAAGUGAGGAUUGGCUCUGUCUUCUCUGCAGACGGCAUGUCUUUAAGGUUCAGGAGCUCCUCAAAGUGUUCCUUCCACUCCCAGGCUACAUCAUUGGUACGGGUCAGCAUUUCUCCACUUGGGUGAGGACCGCCUUCCCCUUCUAAGUCACUUGAUCACUAGUCACUUUUCAUGGUCUUUCUGAAGCUGC